AAGAAGGUGACAGAGUGGUUAUGUAUCUGGUUUGAAGUCAGAAUAUGGAGGUUCAAUUCCUUCCUUUCUCG
RNAcentral lists this transfer RNA (71 nucleotides) under Mantella madagascariensis (Madagascar golden frog). Its description in RNAcentral is "tRNA-Ser(UCN)". It matches the Rfam family "tRNA". Rfam says of the family: Transfer RNA (tRNA) molecules are approximately 80 nucleotides in length. Their secondary structure includes four short double-helical elements and three loops (D, anti-codon, and T loops). Lineage: Eukaryota; Metazoa; Chordata; Amphibia; Anura; Mantellidae. The record is from RNAcentral.